UGUUAAAAAUUCCAUCAAUUUAUAUUGUAAAAAAUUGGUGCAAUUUGUAGAAUAACCAAAUAGUGACACAUGAUAUGUCAUGUAUACCUAAACUAACUUUUAAUGAUACAAAUAGAUGUAAUUUUUAUCA
Molecule: microRNA precursor, 130 nt
Organism: Gossypium arboreum
Lineage: Eukaryota; Viridiplantae; Streptophyta; Magnoliopsida; Malvales; Malvaceae
Rfam family: MIR7502 microRNA precursor family
Source: Rfam